UACGGAGGAUGCAAGCGUUGUCCGGAUUUAUUGGGUUUAAAGGGUGCGCAGGUUGUUUGAUAAGUCAGUGGUGAAAGUCUGUCGCUUAACGGUAGGAUUGCCAUUGAUACUGUUGGACUUGAGUAUGGAUGAGGUAGGCGGAAUGUGUAGUGUAGCGGUGAAAUGCAUAGAUAUUACACAGAACACCGAUUGCGAAGGCAGCUUACUAAUCCAUCAUUGACGCUGAGGCACGAAAGCGUGGGGAUCAAACA
Molecule: ribosomal RNA, 251 nt
Filed under: uncultured prokaryote
Description: partial 16S ribosomal RNA
Rfam family: Bacterial small subunit ribosomal RNA
Source: RNAcentral